GGUGGGGUGGCAGAGUGGACUAAUGCGCCUGCCUUGAAAGCAGGUGGCCUUCCGGCCGCAUGGGUUCGAAUCCCAUCCCCACCG
RNAcentral lists this transfer RNA (84 nucleotides) under Halobacteriales archaeon QH_8_64_26. RNAcentral's name for it is "tRNA-Ser". It matches the Rfam family "tRNA". From Rfam's summary of the family: Transfer RNA (tRNA) molecules are approximately 80 nucleotides in length. Their secondary structure includes four short double-helical elements and three loops (D, anti-codon, and T loops). The record is from RNAcentral. Lineage: Archaea; Methanobacteriati; Methanobacteriota; Halobacteria; Halobacteriales.